RNAcentral lists this ribosomal RNA (497 nucleotides) under uncultured bacterium. RNAcentral describes it as "bacterial SSU rRNA". It matches the Rfam family "Bacterial small subunit ribosomal RNA", at positions 29 to 521 of the family's 1533-position model. The record is from RNAcentral.
AACGAACGCUGGCGGCGCGCCUAAUACAUGCAAGUCGAGCGAGAAGACGUAGCAAUACGUUUGUAAAGCGGCGAACGGGUGAGGAAUACAUGGGUAACCUACCCUCGAGUGGGGAAUAACUAGCCGAAAGGUUAGCUAAUACCGCGUACGCUCCUUGGACUUCGGUUCAGGGAGGAAAGCGAUACCGUGGGUAUCGCGCUCUUGGAUGGGCUCAUGUCCUAUCAGCUUGUUGGUGAGGAACGGCUCACCAAGGCUUCGACGGGUAGCUGGUCUGAGAGGACGAUCAGCCACACUGGCACUGCGACACGGGCCAGACUCCUACGGGAGGCAGCAGUAAGGAAUAUUGCGCAAUGGGCGAAAGCCUGACGCAGCGACGCCGCGUGGGGGAUGAAGGUCUUCGGAUUGUAAACCCCUUUCGGGAGGGAAGAUGGAAUGGGUAACCAUUCGGACGGUACCUCCAGAAGCAGCCACGGCUAACUUCGUGCCAGCGCCGCGGU